Molecule: ribosomal RNA, 373 nt
Filed under: uncultured eukaryote
Lineage: Eukaryota
Description: partial 18S ribosomal RNA
Rfam family: Eukaryotic small subunit ribosomal RNA
Source: RNAcentral
CAAUAGCGUAUAUUAACGUUGUUGCAGUUAAAAAGCUCGUAGUUGAAUUUUUGCUUGCCGCCGAUGUCGGAACUUCCGUACGUUCGGCGGCGUGCAUCCUUGGGUGGAACCUGUGUGGCAUUAGGUUGUCGUGCAGGGGAUGCUCAUCGUUUACUGUGAAAAAAUUAGAGUGUUCAAAGCAGGCUUAUGCCGUUGAAUAUAUUAGCAUGGAAUAAUAAGAUAGGACCUUGGUACUAUUUUGUUGGUUUGCGCACCGAGGUAAUGAUUAACAGGGACAGUUGGGGGUAUUCGUAUUCCAUUGUCAGAGGUGAAAUUCUUGGAUUUCUGGAAGACGAACUACUGCGAAANCANNNACCAAGGAUGUUUUCAUNAA